CUGGUGUUGGCCUCUGAGGGAGGGAGCGUUGGGCUUGGGCAGUUCACCUCAGCCUUCCCCAAAAUGCGAGCAGGUGCACAGCCUGUGGGCAUACAGGUUCACAGCUGCAAGUGCAGAGGUUUCUGUGGUAAAUAAGGACACAGGUACAACAACAGAAAUGAAAGCCAGAGAAAACCCUCAAAGCUGCAUGUACACCUACACAGUAAACAGAGCAACUAAAAAGGAAAGGUAAGAGGCAGAAUCAUCACUACUCAUCUGCUGAGCUGUGAUCAGAGCUGUCCCUUUAGGAAUUUGGCUGUGUUCUGAUUCAUGCUGAGUGCCAGCCUAAUGUGUGGAAUGGGAUUCCCCACUGCAGUCUUGGGAACAACUCGUUUAGUGGAUAUCUCAUCUGAUGGCAUGCAAAUAGGAGAAAGUGAUGCUUGCAGUCAACGAAUUCUCUCCAAGUGUGAAUGGACCCUUCUCCAAGCAUGAAAAUAUUGAGGAACCCAUGUAUUAAAUCUUUAAAACAAAAAAGGCAGCUGCAAUGACCUGUAUUUGUCAUACUGUUUCAUUUCCAUGGUGUUUUGAAAGUAGUGUUUAUAGUUUCCAAACCUGUGGUGCUGGGUCCCACUGCCUGUUGCCGACCCACAGAAGCAGUGGGUUCAGAGGGUUCACCAGUACCCUCGCAUUGCUCGCUCUGCACUCUGCUGCUCAAUCCCCUCUGUGACAGGAGCUGAAAACACUCUGGAGUCAAAAGCUAAUUGAGAAGUUAUAAAGGGUACUGCACAACUCCCUAGCUCUGUAGUGGGAUGGGUGGUUGAGUACUAAUCAGUUCAGAGUGUAUUUCUUCUGGGACCAGCAGUUACUGGUAAGUAAUUAUUCUGUAAAAGAUAUGCAUCAUAACGGAUUGUGCUUCCCAAGAACAAAGGCUCAAAUGAGAUCUCCAAGAACAGUGUGGACCAAAAUGGGCAUCAUGUUUUCCCAGUGUAGAUGAGUAUACUGUGGUUAUAUUAAUACAGCUGGGCCAAUUAGGGGGAGCUGCUCAUUUGCAAUUAGAUGUUGACUGUGUUAACAUUCCCUGGCAGUAGCUCUAUGCCGGUGCUCAUAUGCCAGAACCAUUUAUUUACAUGCUCGUGAUGGACGAUAAGGCACCUUUGCACUCCUGGGAGCCUCAUUUGUGUUUGUGCUAGGAUCCCUUAAUGCUCUCAUCGAGCAUUAAAAUUACUCAAUUUUUACUGCUCAGUGCAGAGUGCAGAAGUCUACAUGUAAAUAAGAGUCAGUCAGCUGUGUUUGUUUACUUAAUAGAAGAGGGUUGAUCUGGCUUUGAUGAGUAUGGCAUCUAUAUCUUCAUGCUGAAUCUGCUGCACUGUUUGCUUUUUUCCUGUAGCAUUUAGGAGAAAUCAAAUUAGUGCAUGUUGUGGCAUUAUAUAUCUUGUUGCUAAAAAUGUACCCCUUGGUGUAUAUAUGUCCUCUCUGUUUGCAUACAGAAAUAUAGAUCUUAUCUAUCCUGCAGGUACACAGUUGCCCAGGCUUUGCAUUUUAUAUUCUGUUGUAGCUCAAUAGAUAAAGGAUUACCUUUGAGUCCUCUCCAGCCAUUCACUCUCUUCCCUUGCCUCUCUGUCUUUGCCCAGUUACAAUUUGGGUUAGCUCUUGUUUUAGCUGAAUUAAAUGUAUGCUCCAUAUCCAGCAUUCUAAACUCCAAGGGUUGCAAAUCCUUUUUGCACUGAAUCUACAAAGUCUUUUUUUUCUAGAGUCAAUUUCACUGUCGUUUCAGAAUAUAUCCAGUGCAUCUGCACUGAAGAUGUACAAUGGGAUAAGCAAAGCCAAAAUCUCACUCAUACAAUAUAAAUGACUUUUAUGUCUGAAGAAGUAAUUAUCUAGUGUCAUA
Long non-coding RNA from Cygnus olor (mute swan), 1867 nucleotides. RefSeq lists it as uncharacterized. The transcript has 3 exons. The record is from RefSeq and is a predicted model, not a curated record. Lineage: Eukaryota; Metazoa; Chordata; Aves; Anseriformes; Anatidae.